AACGAACGCUGGCGGCAUGCCUAACACAUGCAAGUCGAACGAGACCUUCGGGUCUAGUGGCGCACGGGUGCGUAACGCGUGGGGACCUGCCCUUAGGUUCGGAAUAACUCCCCGAAAGGGGUGCUAAUACCGGAUAAUGUCUUCGGACCAAAGAUUUAUCGCCUUUGGAUGGGCCCGCGUUGGAUUAGCUAGUUGGUAGGGUAAAAGCCUACCAAGGCGACGAUCCAUAGCUGGUCUGAGAGGAUGAUCAGCCACACUGGGACUGAGACACGGCCCAGACUCCUACGGGAGGCAGCAGUGGGGAAUAUUGGACAAUGGGCGAAAGCCUGAUCCAGCAAUGCCGCGUGAGUGAUGAAGGCCUUAGGGUUGUAAAGCUCUUUUACCCGGGAUGAUAAUGACAGUACCGGGAGAAUAAGCUCCGGCUAACUCCG
This 431-nucleotide ribosomal RNA is filed under the name uncultured bacterium. RNAcentral's name for it is "partial 16S ribosomal RNA". It matches the Rfam family "Bacterial small subunit ribosomal RNA", at positions 29 to 505 of the family's 1533-position model. The record is from RNAcentral.